This 562-nucleotide ribosomal RNA is filed under the name uncultured bacterium. RNAcentral describes it as "bacterial SSU rRNA". It matches the Rfam family "Bacterial small subunit ribosomal RNA", at positions 356 to 917 of the family's 1533-position model. The record is from RNAcentral.
CCGGUUUCAUGAAGGGCACCCUGAUCAGCCAUUCCGCGUGAGUGAAGAAGGCCUUCGGGUUGUAAAGCUCUUUCAGCGGGAACGAAACGGUCGAUCUUAAUACGGUCGGCUAAUGACGGUACCUGCAGAAGAAGCACCGGCUAACUACGUGCCAGCAGCCGCGGUAAUACGUAGGGUGCGAGCGUUAAUCGGAAUUACUGGGCGUAAAGCGUGCGCAGGCGGUGACAUAAGACAGAUGUGAAAUCCCCGGGCUCAACCUGGGAACUGCGUUUGUGACUGUGUCGCUCGAGUGUAGCAGAGGGGGGUGGAAUUCCACGUGUAGCAGUGAAAUGCGUAGAGAUGUGGAGGAACACCGAUGGCGAAGGCAGCCCCCUGGGUUAACACUGACGCUCAUGCACGAAAGCGUGGGGAGCAAACAGGAUUAGAUACCCUGGUAGUCCACGCCCUAAACGAUGCCAACUAGGUGUUGGGGAAGGAGACUUCCUUAGUGCCGUAGCUAACGCGUGAAGUUGGCCGCCUGGGGAGUACGGUCGCAAGAUUAAAACUCAAGAAUUUGGACCGG